This 252-nucleotide ribosomal RNA is filed under the name uncultured bacterium. RNAcentral's name for it is "partial 16S ribosomal RNA". It matches the Rfam family "Bacterial small subunit ribosomal RNA", at positions 524 to 776 of the family's 1533-position model. The record is from RNAcentral.
GACGUAGGGUGCGAGCGUUGUCCGGAUUUAUUGGGCGUAAAGAGCUCGUAGGCGGCUCGUCGCGUCGACCGUGAAAACCCGCGGCUUAACUGCGGGCUUGCGGUUGAUACGGGCGGGCUAGAGUUCGGUAGGGGAGACUGGAAUUCCUGGUGUAGCGGUGAAAUGCGCAGAUAUCAGGGGAACACCGGUGGCGAAGGCGGGUCUCUGGGCCGAUACUGACGCUGAGGAGCGAAAGCGUGGGGAGCGAACAGG